RNAcentral lists this unclassified non-coding RNA (345 nucleotides) under uncultured Mortierella. RNAcentral's name for it is "sequence contains 5.8S rRNA gene". The stretch from base 1 to 53 matches the Rfam family "5.8S ribosomal RNA", at positions 102 to 154 of the family's 154-position model. Lineage: Eukaryota; Fungi; Mortierellomycota; Mortierellomycetes; Mortierellales; Mortierellaceae. The record is from RNAcentral.
GAACGCAUAUUGCGCUCUUUGGUAUUCCGAAGAGCAUGCUUGUUUGAGUAUCAGUAAACACCUCAACGCUUUUGGAUUUUUUUUGAAAGCUUUGGACUUGAGCAAUCCCAACGCCAAUCUUUUUCAGCUCGGCGGCGGGUUGCUUGAAUUGCAGGUGCAGCUGGACUUUCUCCUGAGCUAAAAGCAUAUUCAUUUAGUCCCGUCAAACGGAUUAUUACUUUUGCUGCAGCUAACAUAAAGGGAGUUUGACCGUAUUGGCUGACUGAUGCAGGAUUUCACAAGGGUCGGCAACGAUUCUUGUAAAACUCGAUCUCAAAUCAAGUAAGACUACCCGCUGAACUUAAG